AUGCUUUUGAAUUCACCUCUGUCGAAUUCUAAUUAAAAAAAAAAAAAAAACUCUUCUCCUUAUCCACCGGAAUGUCACGUUGAAGAAAAAAAAAAUUAGGAGGCCUUCUUUAUUUGUUUGCCGCCAUGCAACUACUUUACCGAUUGGAUUGCCAUUUCAAAUUUAAUGCAGAUGAUGGCGUGGCUCUCCGUUUUAAUUGGUUUUCCUACAGCCAAAAGAGCAUCAUGAACUUGGUUCAAACUUUAGACUGGCUUUUGUUCUAUAUAAUAUAUAAUAAAUUAAAGCAAAAAAAAAAAAAGGGAAUGUUCUGAUUGGAGAUAGUCAGUCAAACCUUAUAACCGACUUAUUUUAUGCUUAGUCAAAUCUGCAUUGAAAUUGUAAAGUUCUUCGGUCGACCAAAUUGGUUGUUUAAACAGGGAACUUAAAUGGUCGAAUCCUAAGAUUUAAGUUCUGCAAUAAUGUUCUUAUAUAUGCAUAGAAUACGACUUGCAUCUUAUCCUCAUGAUUUGCUUACCUGCGUUUGAAGUAACUAAUUGUUAUCUUAAACAGUUCG
Molecule: long non-coding RNA, 553 nt
Filed under: Durio zibethinus
Lineage: Eukaryota; Viridiplantae; Streptophyta; Magnoliopsida; Malvales; Malvaceae
Description: long non-coding RNA (DZIB_LNC001806)
Source: RNAcentral